RNAcentral lists this long non-coding RNA (221 nucleotides) under Elaeis guineensis (African oil palm). Its description in RNAcentral is "long non-coding RNA (EGUI_LNC049210)". The record is from RNAcentral. Lineage: Eukaryota; Viridiplantae; Streptophyta; Magnoliopsida; Arecales; Arecaceae.
GGGAGAAAGAGUCUUGUUUCCCUUGGCUUAAUCAAACCUAUACACAGUACAUGUAUAUAUAAACAUAGGGUCAAGUGACCCAAACCCAAAACUCCCUUGACCAACUCUAUGGGAGAUUAGGUUAAUCCAAGCCCAUGUACACCCAUGACUCGACCUAAUCUCACCUAUCCUAGGCCUAGACCUAGCCCAUAAAGAGUUGAUCCCUUGAGGCCCACAUAACC